Long non-coding RNA from Camellia sinensis, 241 nucleotides. RefSeq lists it as uncharacterized. The record is from RefSeq and is a predicted model, not a curated record. Lineage: Eukaryota; Viridiplantae; Streptophyta; Magnoliopsida; Ericales; Theaceae.
CAUCAAUUAGCACUCCAAGCUUAAAUAGGUCACAAGAAACAUCUCCUUUUAAAUUGUGAAGAAAUAUGGUGGCGGGUGUGAGCAGGAAGAUAUCAGCAGAAUACCAAAACAGAGCACUCCUCUUCAACUUCCUUCAGGUUUACAUUUUGUCUUGAAGAUAGAAGGAGAUCCAAAUUGCAAAAUUUGUUUCCUGAGGAGCACGGUUAGAUAGAGGACUGGGAGGAUGAGCCAAUUUUACCUC